UUGACCUCAAAUCAGGUAGGAAUAAAACCCGCUGAAGUCUUAAUCAUAUC
RNAcentral lists this ribosomal RNA (50 nucleotides) under Metarhizium flavoviride. Its description in RNAcentral is "partial 28S ribosomal RNA". Lineage: Eukaryota; Fungi; Ascomycota; Sordariomycetes; Hypocreales; Clavicipitaceae. The record is from RNAcentral.